UCUGGGGUGGCUCAAUCGGUAGAAACGAGACUCCUAAUCUCAGGGUUGUGGGUUUGAGCCCCACAUUGAGAA
Non-coding RNA from Podarcis lilfordi (Lilford's wall lizard), 72 nucleotides. The record is from the annotation of a GenBank genome assembly. NCBI's taxonomy places the organism in Eukaryota, Metazoa, Chordata, Lepidosauria, Squamata, Lacertidae.